This 72-nucleotide transfer RNA is filed under the name Lepisosteus oculatus (spotted gar). It matches the Rfam family "tRNA". Rfam says of the family: Transfer RNA (tRNA) molecules are approximately 80 nucleotides in length. Their secondary structure includes four short double-helical elements and three loops (D, anti-codon, and T loops). The record is from Rfam by way of RNAcentral. Lineage: Eukaryota; Metazoa; Chordata; Actinopteri; Semionotiformes; Lepisosteidae.
ACCAGAGUGGCGCAGCAGAAGCGAGCUGAGCUCAUAACCCAGAGAGUGAUGGAUUGAAACCAUCCUCUACUA